AGAGCGAACGCUGGCGGCAGGCUUAACACAUGCAAGUCGAGCGGGCGUAGCAAUACGUCAGCGGCAGACGGGUGAGUAACGCGUGGGAACAUACCUUUUGGUUCGGAACAACCCAGGGAAACUUGGGCUAAAUACCGGAUAAGCCCUUACGGGGAAAGAUUUAUCGCCGAAAGAUUGGCCCGCGUCUGAUUAGCUAGUUGGUGAGGUAACGGCUCACCAAGGCGACGAUCAGUAGCUGGUCUGAGAGGAUGAUCAGCCACAUUGGGACUGAGACACGGCCCAAACUCCUACGGGAGGCAGCAGUGGGAAUAUUGGACAAUGGGCGCAAGCCUGAUCCAGCCAUGCCGCGUGAGUGAUGAAGGCCCUAGGGUUGUAAAGCUCUUUUGUGCGGGAAGAUAAUGACGGUACCGCAAGAAUAAGCCCCGGCUAACUUCGCGCCAGCAGCCGC
This 448-nucleotide ribosomal RNA is filed under the name uncultured bacterium. RNAcentral describes it as "SSU rRNA". It matches the Rfam family "Bacterial small subunit ribosomal RNA", at positions 26 to 518 of the family's 1533-position model. The record is from RNAcentral.